Molecule: ribosomal RNA, 327 nt
Filed under: uncultured eukaryote
Lineage: Eukaryota
Description: partial 18S ribosomal RNA
Rfam family: Eukaryotic small subunit ribosomal RNA
Source: RNAcentral
CCCUUAGAUGUUCUGGGCCGCACGCGCGCUACACUGACGAAUGCAACGAGCUUAUAACCUUGGCCGAAAGGUCUGGGUAAUCUCCAAAUUUCGUCGUGAUGGGGAUAGGUUAUUGCAAUUAUUAAUCUUCAACGAGGAAUGCCUAGUAAGCGCAAGUCAUCAGCUUGCGUUGAUUACGUCCCUGCCCUUUGUACACACCGCCCGUCGCUCCUACCGAUUGAAUGGUCCGGUGAAGCGUUCGGACCGUGGCCUUUGGACGGUUCGCCGUCUGUUGGCUGCGGGAAGUUCGUUAAACCUUAUCAUUUAGAGGAAGGAGANGUCGUNACA